AGUUGGUGAGGUAAGGGCUCACCAAGGCGACGAUCCCUAGCUGGUCUGAGAGGAUGAUCAGCCACACUGGAACUGAGACACGGUCCAGACUCCUACGGGAGGCAGCAGUGGGGAAUAUUGCACAAUGGGCGCAAGCCUGAUGCAGCCAUGCCGCGUGUGUGAAGAAGGCCUUCGGGUUGUAAAGCACUUUCAGUCGUGAGGAAGG
RNAcentral lists this ribosomal RNA (205 nucleotides) under Vibrio parahaemolyticus. Its description in RNAcentral is "partial 16S ribosomal RNA". It matches the Rfam family "Bacterial small subunit ribosomal RNA", at positions 247 to 451 of the family's 1533-position model. Lineage: Bacteria; Pseudomonadati; Pseudomonadota; Gammaproteobacteria; Vibrionales; Vibrionaceae. The record is from RNAcentral.